CUACGGUAGUUUCUACAUUGGCGCAAUCACACUUUCCGGAGACACAAACGCAUGAAGCAGGAGGUGGACAACCAGGAGAACCGCACUGAUUUAUGCAAUCUUUGCUACUCUUGCAAGUCAAAGACCUAGCAUUCACAUUAUUUAAACUAUCUGCAAAAAUGGCCAUUGUUUAUACUUCUUACAUAUAUUAAAAUCUAUAAAAAUAUUGAAAAUUAUAAAAUAAAUAAGAAAAAAUGUGGAUAAAUAAAUACCAAAAGUAGAAAGGAAUAGCACAAGCAACAAAACCAUGGUUGUGGUUGAUGGCUUCAUUUUUCUUUCCUCUAAAAUAUUGCAAAACUUUUUAUUUUAAGGUUGUAUGAUCCUUAAAGAUGAAAUUCUAAGCCUUAUAUAGGCAACAGUGGAAAGAAAGUUUAGGAAAGAAAUCAGCUAGCCUUAUAAUGAUAAUUUGAUUCUAUUUUAUAUUUAGUUACCAGAUUUGUUUGCCAAUAAUAUUUACAUUCCAAUUUUAAAAGAAAUCUUGAAUAAUUUUACACUUACUACCAUAAAAAAUGUCAUUCUAUUUUAUUUUUAUAGGAUAAAUCUCAAAAUUAUACAUGAACUUUGAUUUAGCGUAUAAUUGUAUACAUGAACUUUAAUUUGGUGUAAUUGUUAAAGAUAUGUGACCCAAAUUCUUGUUAAAUAAAAAUACAAGUGAUAAGAUAGGGGGAUCUACGGUACAGGCUGCACAAGUAAAAUCCGUAUAGAAGUAUGCUUCCACUAUUUGAUGUUGAUUAGAAUAAGGUGUUUUAACCUUACUGCACAAGUGAAAACCUAUAAAUAGACGUAGUCGUCUCUCCUCUUGUAUUCAUUCGAAUUCGACAUAGUAAAUUUUCUUCUCCUCUGCCCGUGGUUUUUUUCAAAAGGGUUUCCACGUAAAAUCUAUGUGUUCUAUUUUUUCUCUUUUCUUGCCAUUAUCGACAUUCUAUUUUUACAGUAAUCAUACACGUGAAACUCUAAUUGUGGUUCAAAUGUAUACUUGAAGCUUUAAUUUUGAUUUAAUCAUACACAUUUAAAGAAAUAAAUACAUCUCAAGAAUGGGUUGCCUGAGACUUUAGAUCAAAGAAGUGACUCUUUUNNNNNNNNNNNNNNNNNNNNNNNNNNNNNNNNNNNNNNNNNNNNNNNNNNNNNNNNNNNNNNNNNNNNNNNNNNNNNNNNNNNNNNNNNNNNNNNNNNNNUGUCGGAGUGACCCGUGGAUUCCUAUUGUUGGUCCUUUUCGCAAUCAUAUUUGAUCUCACUCCAACUUGGCGUCGGAUUGCUUUCUUAAGGGUAUGGUCACUGAUGAAGGAUAUUGGAAUCUGAGUCUUUUUCGACUUUGGCAUCUAGAAGAGAUCAUUUAUAGGAUUGUGGGGAUUCCCCCUCCAUGUCCAACAGUUGGACCGGAUAAAGUCAUAUGGGGUAGUACAUCAACAGGAACCUUCACACUCAAUAGUGCGUGUGGGAAGAUUCGGGAAAAGUCGUGGAACCCAAAAGAGGCUAUUUGACAACGUCCAUGGAAAUUUCAAGAUCCUCAAAUGAUUGGAUACUUCAUCUGGCUUGCCUUUCAGCAGAGUCUUAUUACUAAUGUAGAAAGAGUGAAAAGGCGCUUGAGUCAUGAUUGUUCUUGUGGGUUCUGUUGUCAUGAAUAUGAAGAUGUGCUACACGUUUUAAGAGAUUGUCCGGCAGCUAGAGAUAUUUGGAAACACAUAAUUCCAAACGAUAAGGUAUCCUGGUUUUAUUCAGGUGGGCUUAUGGAGUGGCUAGAGGCAAAUUUAGAGAAUUCUCAACAAUUAUAUGUAGGAGAUGUCGAUUGGAAAUGCUUUAUUGGACUCAUUACGUGGCGUAUUUGGGAAAAUCGUACAGGGACUAUAUCCAUAUUUUAUACUUUUCUUUUCUAAUUUAAUUACGAAUGCACUUUUUUAAAAAAAUUAGUUAUCCAUACAUGCUUUCUAAAAGAAAAUUGAGCAGCAAAAAUUAACAAAUGAAAUUUUUUGUAAACAAAAUUCAAAAGAGAAUAUAUAUUAUAUUGUUUAUUAUAAUAAGUUAUUCUUAUUGUGAUAUUAUAGCAAAAAAUUCAAUUACAACUUAUACUAAAUUCAAUAUGUUCUUUAAACAUGACCAUUUAAUGGUCCAAACACGGAUUCUACGGUAGUUUCUACAUUGGCGCAAUCACACUUUCCGGAGACACAAACGCAUGAAGCAGGAGGUGGACAACCAGGAGAACCGCACUGAUUUAUGCAAUCUUUGCUACUCUUGCAAGUCAAAGACCUAGCAUUCACAUUAUUUAUGCUAUCUGCAAAAAUGGCCAUUGUUUAUACUUCUUACAUAUAUUAAAAUCUAUAAAAAUAUUGAAAAUUAUAAAAUAAAUAAGAAAAAAUGUGGAUAAAUAAAUACCAAAAGUAGAAAGGAAUAGCACAAGCAACAAAACCAUGGUUGUGGUUGAUGGCUUCAUUUUUCUUUUCUCUAAAAAUAUUGGAAAACUUUUUUUUUA
RNAcentral lists this long non-coding RNA (2506 nucleotides) under Gossypium raimondii (Peruvian cotton). RNAcentral describes it as "long non-coding RNA (GRAI_LNC003301)". The record is from RNAcentral. Lineage: Eukaryota; Viridiplantae; Streptophyta; Magnoliopsida; Malvales; Malvaceae.